UGGGGAAUAUUGGACAAUGGGCGAAAGCCUGAUCCAGCCAUGCCGCGUGUGUGAAGAAGGUCUUCGGAUUGUAAAGCACUUUAAGUUGGGAGGAAGGGCAGUAAGCGAAUACCUUGCUGUUUUGACGUUACCGACAGAAUAAGCACCGGCUAACUCUGUGCCAGCAGCCGCGGUAAUACAGAGGGUGCAAGCGUUAAUCGGAAUUACUGGGCGUAAAGCGCGCGUAGGUGGUUCGUUAAGUUGAAUGUGAAAGCCCCGGGCUCAACCUAGGAGCUGCAUCCAAAACUGGCGAGCUAGAGUAGGGCAGAGGGUGGUGGAAUUUCCUGUGUAGCGGUGAAUUGCGUAGAUAUAGGAAGGAACACCAAUGGCGAAGGCGAACACCUGGGGUUAUAAUGACACUGUGGUGCGAAAGCGUGGGGAGCAAACAGG
Molecule: ribosomal RNA, 429 nt
Filed under: Pseudomonadota bacterium
Lineage: Bacteria; Pseudomonadati; Pseudomonadota
Description: Proteobacteria bacterium partial 16S ribosomal RNA
Rfam family: Bacterial small subunit ribosomal RNA
Source: RNAcentral